GAUGAACGCUGGCGGCGUGCCUAAUACAUGCAAGUCGAGCGAACAGAUAAGGAGCUUGCUCCUCUGACGUUAGCGGCGGACGGGUGAGUUACACGUGGAUAACCUACCUAUAAGACUGGGAUAACUUCGGGAAACCGGAGCUAAUACCGGAUAACAUAUUGAACCGCAUGGUUCAAUAGUGAAAGGCGGUCUUGCUGUCACUUAUAGAUGGAUCCGCGCCGUAUUAGCUAGUUGGUAAGGUAACGGCUUACCAAGGCAACGAUGCGUAGCCGACCUGAGAGGGUGAUCGGCCACACUGGAACUGAGACACGGUCCAGACUCCUACGGGAGGCAGCAGUAGGGAAUCUUCCGCAAUGGGCGAAAGCCUGACGGAGCAACGCCGCGUGAGUGAUGAAGGUCUUCGGAUCGUAAAACUCUGUUAUCAGGGAAGAACAAAUGUGUAAGUAACUGUGCACGUCUUGACGGUACCUGAUCAGAAAGCCACGGCUAACUACGUG
RNAcentral lists this ribosomal RNA (497 nucleotides) under uncultured bacterium. RNAcentral describes it as "partial 16S ribosomal RNA". It matches the Rfam family "Bacterial small subunit ribosomal RNA", at positions 28 to 507 of the family's 1533-position model. The record is from RNAcentral.